ACGGAAGGCAGCAGUGGGGAAUAUUGCACAAUGGGGGAAACCCUGAUGCAGCGACGCCGCGUGAGUGAAGAAGUAUUUCGGUAUGUAAAGCUCUAUCAGCAGGAAAGAAAAUGACGGUACCUGACUAAGAAGCCCCGGCUAACUACGUGCCAGCAGCCGCGGUAAUACGUAGGGGGCAAGCGUUAUCCGGAUUUACUGGGUGUAAAGGGAGCGUAGACGGCUUUGCAAGUCUGAAGUGAAAGCCCGGGGCUCAACCCCGGAACUGCUUUGGAAACUGUAGAGCUAGAGUGCAGGAGAGGUAAGUGGAAUUCCUAGUGUAGCGGUGAAAUGCGUAGAUAUUAGGAGGAACACCAGUGGCGAAGGCGGCUUACUGGUCUGUAACUGACGUUGAGGCUCGAAGGCGUGGGGAGCAAACAGGAUUAGAUACCCUGGUA
Molecule: ribosomal RNA, 434 nt
Filed under: uncultured Lachnospiraceae bacterium
Lineage: Bacteria; Bacillati; Bacillota; Clostridia; Lachnospirales; Lachnospiraceae
Description: partial 16S ribosomal RNA
Rfam family: Bacterial small subunit ribosomal RNA
Source: RNAcentral